Molecule: ribosomal RNA, 279 nt
Filed under: uncultured bacterium
Lineage: Bacteria
Description: partial 16S ribosomal RNA
Rfam family: Bacterial small subunit ribosomal RNA
Source: RNAcentral
UGCCAGCAGCCGCGGUAAUACGUAGGGGGCAAGCGUUGUCCGGAUUUACUGGGCAUAAAGCGCACGUAGGCGGAUUGGAAAGUCGGUUGUGAAAGCCCGGGGCUCAACCCCGGAAUUGCUUCUGAAACUUCCAGUCUUGAGGGUGAGAGGGGAGAGUGGAACUUCUGGUGGAGCGGUGAAAUGCGUAGAGAUCAGAAGGAACACCGGUGGCGAAAGCGACUCUCUGGCUCAUUUCUGACGCUGAGGUGCGAAAGCUUGGGUAGCGAACAGGAUUAGAUA